This 103-nucleotide small nuclear RNA is filed under the name Carlito syrichta (Philippine tarsier). The record is from RNAcentral. Lineage: Eukaryota; Metazoa; Chordata; Mammalia; Primates; Tarsiidae.
GUGCUUGCUUCAGCAACACAUAUACUAAAAUUGGAAAAUGCAAAGAAGAUUAGCAUGGCUCCUGUGCAAGGAUGACAUGCAAAUAUAAAUGUACCAUAUUUUU